RNAcentral lists this ribosomal RNA (515 nucleotides) under uncultured bacterium. RNAcentral describes it as "partial 16S ribosomal RNA". It matches the Rfam family "Bacterial small subunit ribosomal RNA", at positions 28 to 523 of the family's 1533-position model. The record is from RNAcentral.
GAUGAACGCUGGCGGCGUGCCUAAUACAUGCAAGUCGAGCGAAUGGAUUAAGAGCUUGCUCUUAUGAAGUUAGCGGCGGACGGGUGAGUAACACGUGGGCAACCUGCCCAUAAGACUGGGAUAACUCCGGGAAACCGGGGCUAAUACCGGAUAACAUUUUGAACCGCAUGGUUCGAAAUUGAAAGGCGGCUUCGGCUGUCACUUAUGGAUGGACCCGCGUCGCAUUAGCUAGUUGGUGAGGUAAUGGCUCACCAAGGCAACGAUGCGUAGCCGACCUGGAAGGGUGAUCGGCCAAACUGGGACUGAGACACGGCCCAGACUCCUACGGGGGGCAGCAGGAGGGAAUCUUCCGCAAUGGACGAAAGUCUGACGGGGCAACGCCGCGUGAGUGAUGAAGGCUUUCGGGUCGUAAAACUCUGUUGUUAGGGAAGAACAAGUGCUAGUUGAAUAAGCUGGCACCUUGACGGUACCUAACCAGAAAGCCACGGCUAACUACGUGCCAGCCGCCGCCGUAA